AACGUGCCGCCCCUCGCCCAGUGGUACAGAGACGGUAAACUGCUGAAACCCAGUAAGCUGGUGGAGAUGGCGUUGGGCGGAGGCACAGCCCGUCUGACGCUGUCCCACCUGGCCAAGGACGACGAGGGCCUCUACACCCUCCUCAUCUUUACUAAGGAUGGCACCGCUGAGCACAGCGCCUACCUGUUUGUCUCAGAUGCCGCUCCCUCUACACCUGGAGCCC
Molecule: long non-coding RNA, 223 nt
Organism: Lates calcarifer (barramundi perch)
Lineage: Eukaryota; Metazoa; Chordata; Actinopteri; Centropomidae
Exons: 3
Source: RefSeq, a predicted model, not a curated record